AUUGAACGCUGGCGGAAUGCUUUACACAUGCAAGUCGAACGGCAGCACGGGGGCAGCCCUGGUGGCGAGUGGCGAACGGGUGAGUAAUACAUCGGAACGUGCCCAGUCGCGGGGGAUAACGUAGCGAAAGUUACGCUAAUACCGCAUACGAUCUACGGAUGAAAGCGGGGGACCGUAAGGCCUCGCGUGAUUGGAGCGGCCGACGUCAGAUUAAGUAGUUGGUGAGGUAAAGGCUCACCAAGCCGACGAUCUGUAGCUGGUCUGAGAGGACGACCAGCCACACUGGGACUGAGACACGGCCCAGACUCCUACGGGAGGCAGCAGUGGGGAAUUUUGGACAAUGGGCGCAAGCCUGAUCCAGCCAUUCCGCGUGCAGGGCGAAGGCCUUCGGGUUGUAAACUGCUUUUGUACGGAACGAAAAGGCUCUGGUUAAUACCUGGGGCUCAUGACGGUACCGUAAGAAUAAGCACCGGCUAACUACGUGCCAGCCGCCGCCGAAG
This 500-nucleotide ribosomal RNA is filed under the name uncultured bacterium. RNAcentral's name for it is "partial 16S ribosomal RNA". It matches the Rfam family "Bacterial small subunit ribosomal RNA", at positions 29 to 523 of the family's 1533-position model. The record is from RNAcentral.